GCCUGGGUGGCUCAGUAGGUUGAGCGUCCGACUUCGGCUCAGGUCAUGAUCUCACAGCUCGUGAGUUCGAGCCCCACCUCAGGCU
RNAcentral lists this transfer RNA (85 nucleotides) under Felis catus (domestic cat). It matches the Rfam family "tRNA". From Rfam's summary of the family: Transfer RNA (tRNA) molecules are approximately 80 nucleotides in length. Their secondary structure includes four short double-helical elements and three loops (D, anti-codon, and T loops). Further hydrogen bonds mediate the characteristic L-shaped molecular structure. tRNAs have two regions of fundamental functional importance: the anti-codon, which is responsible for specific mRNA codon recognition, and the 3' end, to which the tRNAs corresponding amino acid is attached (by aminoacyl-tRNA synthetases). tRNAs cope with the degeneracy of the genetic code in two manners: having more than one tRNA (with a specific anti-codon) for a particular amino acid; and 'wobble' base-pairing, i.e. permitting non-standard base-pairing at the 3rd anti-codon position. Lineage: Eukaryota; Metazoa; Chordata; Mammalia; Carnivora; Felidae. The record is from Rfam by way of RNAcentral.